CCUACGGGAGGCAGCAGUGAGGAAUAUUGGUCAAUGGCCGUAAGGCUGAACCAGCCAAGUAGCGUGAGGGAAGACUGCCCUAUGGGUUGUAAACCUCUUUUAUGCGGGGAUAAAGGUGUCCACGCGUGGAUGUUUGCAGGUACCGCAUGAAUAAGGACUGGAUAAUUCCGUUCCAGCCGCCGUGGUAAUACGGAAGGUCCGGGCGUUAUCCGGAUUUAAUGGGUUUAAAGGGAGCGUAGGACGGUCUUUAAGCGUGCCGUGAAAUUUUGUGGCUCAAACCUGGGAGUGCGGCGCGAACUGGAGACCUUGAGUGGGCGGAAUGCAGGCGGAAUUCGUGGUGUAGCGGUGAAAUGCUUAGAUAUCACGAAGAACCCCGAUUGCGAAGGCAGCAUGCCGGAGCGUUACUGACGCUGAGGCUCGAAAGCGCGGGUAUCGAACAGGAUUAGAUACCCUUGUAGUC
This 460-nucleotide ribosomal RNA is filed under the name uncultured bacterium. Its description in RNAcentral is "partial 16S ribosomal RNA". It matches the Rfam family "Bacterial small subunit ribosomal RNA", at positions 338 to 795 of the family's 1533-position model. The record is from RNAcentral.